GGGGUACUAGCUCAAAUGGUAGAGCGCUCGCUUAGCAUGCGAGAGGUACAGGGAUCGAUGCCCUGGUACUCCA
This is a non-coding RNA of Macrostomum lignano, 73 nucleotides long. The record is from Rfam. Lineage: Eukaryota; Metazoa; Platyhelminthes; Macrostomidae.